CCUACGGGUGGCAGCAGUGGGGAAUAUUGCGCAAUGGGCGAAAGCCUGACGCAGCGACGCCGCGUGAGGGAUGAAGGUCUUCGGAUCGUAAACCUCUGUCAGCAGGGAAGAACGGUCACUGUGCUAAUCAGCAGUGAAUUGACGGUACCUGCAAAGGAAGCACCGGCUAACUCCGUGCCAGCAGCCCCGGUAAGACGGAGGGUGCGCGCGUUAAUCGGAAGUACUGGGCGUAAAGCGCUCGUAGGCGGGCUGUCAAGUCAAGGGUGAAAUCCCCGCGCUCAACGUGGGAACUGCCUUUGAGACUGGCAGACUGGAGUGUGUGAGAGGAUAGUGGAAUUCCAGGUGUAGGAGUGAAAUGCGUAGAUAUCUGGAGGAACAUCAGUGGCGAAGGCGACUAUCUGGCACAUAACUGACGCUGAGGAGCGAAAGCGUUGGGAGCAAACAGGAUUAGAUACCCGAGUAGUC
Molecule: ribosomal RNA, 465 nt
Filed under: uncultured bacterium
Lineage: Bacteria
Description: partial 16S ribosomal RNA
Rfam family: Bacterial small subunit ribosomal RNA
Source: RNAcentral